GAUGAACGCUGGCGGCGUGCCUAAUACAUGCAAGUUGAGCGCUGAAGGUUGGUACUUGUACCAACUGGAUGAGCAGCGAACGGGUGAGUAACGCGUGGGGAAUCUGCCUUUGAGCGGGGGACAACAUUUGGAAACGAAUGCUAAUACCGCAUAAAAACUUUAAACACAAGUUUUAAGUUUGAAAGAUGCAAUUGCAUCACUCAAAGAUGAUCCCGCGUUGUAUUAGCUAGUUGGUGAGGUAAAGGCUCACCAAGGCGAUGAUACAUAGCCGACCUGAGAGGGUGAUCGGCCACAUUGGGACUGAGACACGGCCCAAACUCCUACGGGAGGCAGCAGUAGGGAAUCUUCGGCAAUGGACGAAAGUCUGACCGAGCAACGCCGCGUGAGUGAAGAAGGUUUUCGGAUCGUAAAACUCUGUUGGUAGAGAAGAACGUUGGUGAGAGUGGAAAGCUCAUCAAGUGACGGUAACUACCCAGAAAGGGACGGCUAACUACGUG
Molecule: ribosomal RNA, 497 nt
Filed under: uncultured bacterium
Lineage: Bacteria
Description: partial 16S ribosomal RNA
Rfam family: Bacterial small subunit ribosomal RNA
Source: RNAcentral